CAAUAGCGUAUAUUAAAGUUGUUGCAGUUAAAAAGCUCGUAGUUGGAUUUCUGGUGAGAUGGAUUAUGUCUAGGUCGAAAGAUCUUGUUCAUGGUUCGUUUUGCCCUUCUUGUCAGGAACCCGCUGAGAUUCGCGUCUUGUCGGUGGGAUGGCAUCGUUUACUGUGAAAAAAUUAGAGUGUUCAAAGCAGGCAUCGCCGUUGAAUACAUUAGCAUGGAAUAAUAAGAUAAGACUUUGGUGGUCUAUUUUGUUGGUUUGCACGCCAAAGUAAUGAUUAAUAGGGAUAGUUGGGGGUAUUCGUAUUCCAUUGUCAGAGGUGAAAUUCUUGGAUUUUUGGAAGACGAACUACUGCGAAAGCAUUUACCAAGGAUGUUUUCAUUAA
Molecule: ribosomal RNA, 382 nt
Filed under: uncultured eukaryote
Lineage: Eukaryota
Description: partial 18S ribosomal RNA
Rfam family: Eukaryotic small subunit ribosomal RNA
Source: RNAcentral